GGUUAAGCGACUAAGCGUACACGGUGGAUGCCCUGGCAGUCAGAGGCGAUGAAGGACGUGCUAAUCUGCGAAAAGCGUCGGUAAGGUGAUAUGAACCGUUACAGCCGGCGAUGUCCGAAUGGGGAAACCCAGUGCAAUUCGUUGCACUAUCGUUAACUGAAUACAUAGGUUAACGAGGCGAACCGGGGGAACUGAAACAUCUAAGUACCCCGAGGAAAAGAAAUCAACCGAGAUUCCCCCAGUAGCGGCGAGCGAACGGGGAGCAGCCCAGAGUCUGAAUCAGCUUGUGUGUUAGUGGAACGGUCUGGAAAGUCCGACGGUACAGGGUGAUAGUCCCGUACACCAAAAUGCACAGGCUGUGAACUCGAAGAGUAGGGCGGGACACGUGGUAUCCUGUCUGAAUAUGGGGGGACCAUCCUCCAAGGCUAAAUACUCCUGACUGACCGAUAGUGAACCAGUACCGUGAGGGAAAGGCGAAAAGAACCCCGGCGAGGGGAGUGAAAAAGAACCUGAAACCGUGUACGUACAAGCAGUGGGAGCACCUUCGGGUGUGACUGCGUACCUUUUGUAUAAUGGGUCAGCGACUUAUAUUCUGUAGCAAGGUUAACCGUAUAGGGGAGCCGCAGGGAAACCGAGUCUUAACUGGGCGUUAAGUUGCAGGGUAUAGACCCGAAACCCGGUGAUCUAGCCAUGGGCAGGUUGAAGGUUGGGUAACACUAACUGGAGGACCGAACCGACUAAUGUUGAAAAAUUAGCGGAUGACUUGUGGCUGGGGGUGAAAGGCCAAUCAAACCGGGAGAUAGCUGGUUCUCCCCGAAAGCUAUUUAGGUAGCGCCUCGUGAAUUCAUCUUCGGGGGUAGAGCACUGUUUCGGCUAGGGGGUCAUCCCGACUUACCAACCCGAUGCAAACUACGAAUACCGAAGAAUGUUAUCACGGGAGACACACGGCGGGUGCUAACGUCCGUCGUGAAGAGGGAAACAACCCAGACCGCCAGCUAAGGUCCCAAAGUCAUGGUUAAGUGGGAAACGAUGUGGGAAGGCACAGACAGCCAGGAUGUUGGCUUAGAAGCAGCCAUCAUUUAAAGAAAGCGUAAUAGCUCACUGGUCGAGUCGGCCUGCGCGGAAGAUGUAACGGGGCUAAACCAUGCACCGAAGCUGCGGCAGCGACACUAUGUGUUGUUGGGUAGGGGAGCGUUCUGUAAGCCUGCGAAGGUGUGCUGUGAGGCAUGCUGGAGGUAUCAGAAGUGCGAAUGCUGACAUAAGUAACGAUAAAGCGGGUGAAAAGCCCGCUCGCCGGAAGACCAAGGGUUCCUGUCCAACGUUAAUCGGGGCAGGGUGAGUCGACCCCUAAGGCGAGGCCGAAAGGCGUAGUCGAUGGGAAACAGGUUAAUAUUCCUGUACUUGGUGUUACUGCGAAGGGGGGACGGAGAAGGCUAUGUUAGCCGGGCGACGGUUGUCCCGGUUUAAGCAUGUAGGCUGGUUAUCCAGGCAAAUCCGGAUAAUCAAGGCUGAGGUGUGAUGACGAGGCACUACGGUGCUGAAGUAACAAAUGCCCUGCUUCCAGGAAAAGCCUCUAAGCAUCAGGUAACAUCAAAUCGUACCCCAAACCGACACAGGUGGUCAGGUAGAGAAUACCAAGGCGCUUGAGAGAACUCGGGUGAAGGAACUAGGCAAAAUGGUGCCGUAACUUCGGGAGAAGGCACGCUGGUGUGUAGGUGAAGUCCCUGCGGAUGGAGCUGAGACCAGUCGAAGAUACCAGCUGGCUGCAACUGUUUAUUAAAAACACAGCACUGUGCAAACACGAAAGUGGACGUAUACGGUGUGACGCCUGCCCGGUGCCGGAAGGUUAAUUGAUGGGGUUAUCCGUAAGGAGAAGCUCUUGAUCGAAGCCCCGGUAAACGGCGGCCGUAACUAUAACGGUCCUAAGGUAGCGAAAUUCCUUGUCGGGUAAGUUCCGACCUGCACGAAUGGCGUAAUGAUGGCCAGGCUGUCUCCACCCGAGACUCAGUGAAAUUGAACUCGCUGUGAAGAUGCAGUGUACCCGCGGCAAGACGGAAAGACCCCGUGAACCUUUACUAUAGCUUGACACUGAACAUUGAGCCUUGAUGUGUAGGAUAGGUGGGAGGCUUUGAAGCGUGGACGCCAGUCUGCGUGGAGCCAACCUUGAAAUACCACCCUUUAAUGUUUGAUGUUCUAACGUUGGCCCCUUACCGGGGUUGCGGACAGUGUCUGGUGGGUAGUUUGACUGGGGCGGUCUCCUCCCAAAGCGUAACGGAGGAGCACGAAGGUUAGCUAAUCCUGGUCGGACAUCAGGAGGUUAGUGCAAUGGCAUAAGCUAGCUUGACUGCGAGCGUGACGGCGCGAGCAGGUGCGAAAGCAGGUCAUAGUGAUCCGGUGGUUCUGAAUGGAAGGGCCAUCGCUCAACGGAUAAAAGGUACUCCGGGGAUAACAGGCUGAUACCGCCCAAGAGUUCAUAUCGACGGCGGUGUUUGGCACCUCGAUGUCGGCUCAUCACAUCCUGGGGCUGAAGUAGGUCCCAAGGGUAUGGCUGUUCGCCAUUUAAAGUGGUACGCGAGCUGGGUUUAGAACGUCGUGAGACAGUUCGGUCCCUAUCUGCCGUGGGCGCUGGAGAAUUGAGGGGGGCUGCUCCUAGUACGAGAGGACCGGAGUGGACGCAUCACUGGUGUUCGGGUUGUCAUGCCAAUGGCACUGCCCGGUAGCUAAAUGCGGAAGAGAUAAGUGCUGAAAGCAUCUAAGCACGAAACUUGCCCCGAGAUGAGUUCUCCCUGAGACUUUAAGUCUCCUGAAGGAACGUU
This 2816-nucleotide ribosomal RNA is filed under the name Klebsiella pneumoniae. RNAcentral's name for it is "partial 23S ribosomal RNA". It matches the Rfam family "Bacterial large subunit ribosomal RNA". The record is from RNAcentral. Lineage: Bacteria; Pseudomonadati; Pseudomonadota; Gammaproteobacteria; Enterobacterales; Enterobacteriaceae.